This 270-nucleotide ribosomal RNA is filed under the name uncultured archaeon. RNAcentral describes it as "partial 16S ribosomal RNA". It matches the Rfam family "Bacterial small subunit ribosomal RNA", at positions 527 to 796 of the family's 1533-position model. The record is from RNAcentral.
CGAGGGUGCAAGCGUUAAUCGGAAUUACUGGGCGUAAAGCGAGUGUAGGCGGCUUCGUAAGUCGGAUGUGAAAGCCCUGGGCUUAACCUGGGAAUGGCAUUCGAAACUGCGCGGCUAGAGUCUGAUAGAGGGAAGUGGAAUUCCAGGUGUAGCGGUGAAAUGCGUAGAGAUCUGGAGGAACACCAGUGGCGAAGGCGGCUUCCUGGAUCAAGACUGACGCUGAGGCUCGAAAGCGUGGGGAGCAAACAGGAUUAGAUACCCGCGUAGUCC